AAUCUUAAUGUCUGUACACGCUAAAAAGGCAAAUCACAAAUGGGAUUACAGAUUUUUGUUCAAUCCUUGCAGAUGAUUUAAAAUCUUCUUUAUGUUAAAAGCAAUGUUUGUACUAAUUAAACUGGAAUUUCAUGUAAAUGUCACAUCUGACUAGACUCAACACUAGUAAAUGUAGUCAAGCACAAGUAAGCACAAAUAAUUAAUCAGAGCGUACUUAUGAAUACUGAUUUAAGAAGAGUGUCAAAAAGUUGUAAAAACUAACUUUGUUGGUCUACAUAGUAAAAAUAAAUAAAUGUCUCCAACAGGGAAAACAGACCAUUAUCAGAAUGGAUUCAAUGGAAAUUGAUGACAGCUUUUAUAUAAAUAAGAACCUCACAAUGGAAGGCCUCGUUACCAAAGUAGAUUUCCAGAGAAGAAAGCAGCCCUCUAGAUGUGUGACCGUGUGUCUGGGGUUACUGUGUGCUGUCCUGUUGGCUGGUAACAUAGGACAGCUUAUCUACUAUGAGAUAAUCAGCCGUCUCACGUCAGCAGACC
Anarrhichthys ocellatus (wolf-eel) is the source of this 534-nucleotide long non-coding RNA. RefSeq lists it as uncharacterized. The record is from RefSeq and is a predicted model, not a curated record. The transcript has 3 exons. NCBI's taxonomy places the organism in Eukaryota, Metazoa, Chordata, Actinopteri, Perciformes, Anarhichadidae.